This is a long non-coding RNA of Arvicanthis niloticus (Nile rat), 3623 nucleotides long. RefSeq lists it as uncharacterized. The record is from RefSeq and is a predicted model, not a curated record. Lineage: Eukaryota; Metazoa; Chordata; Mammalia; Rodentia; Muridae.
GGUAGUGCUCCCUGGUAGUCGUGGCAGGCACUGCUCACGCGGAACCUGUACGUUAACUGCUCCAGUUGCUGUCCGUUUUCCGCAGCCGUGGACAGUGUGGAGCGGCUGCCCAGUCGGAGCAGGUUUGUAUGGCGCCUCAGCGCUCAACGAGAUAGUGAUGUGCUGUCCUGACGUCUCCCUUACGGACGGCAGCGGGGAGCCUGAGCGCCGAGAAGCAGGGAAAUUUCCUGCUUCCCUCUAGUUAGCUACGCCAGGAGACCCACGUUUGGUUUCCAGCACCCACAUGGCAGCUCACAACUACUUCAACAACCAUUUCAGGAUAUCUGAUGUCCUCCUUCUGACCUCUGAGGGUACCAGAAGAUGUUUGCCAGUGAGACCACAGAUCCUGAGAAGCACAUGCCAGAGUGACCAGUGGCAAUUGCAAAGGAUGCACAGCUCCACAAGAGUCCAGGGGACUGGAAGGAAAUAACCUAAGCCAUUUUCUUUCAUCAAAAAUCUAGAAAAUAGUCAUGUUUGUAGUUCAGACCUCAGAAGGGCUGUAACUCAGCAGUGCCAGAAAUGGAGGCCCCCCCCAUCAUAGAAGCAAGCUGUAAUCACCUCAGUCUAUCACCAUACUAAGUAACCCACUGUCCAAAAAAGCAAACGAGAAAGAUACCAUCAGAUAGACUCUCAAACUAACUAUGAUUACAGAGUAGGUGGGAUUUAUAUAAAAAUUGAUAAAGAAUAUACAAAGGCCUAGUGAGUGAAUAUGAAGAGCAACAGACACAGGGAGCUUCUCAAGAGAGCCAGAGAAAAGGCAUCCAGUCACUGGGAAUUACAACAAAACUGAUCAUAGUCUUUUCUUCAGGGGUACAAAAGCCAGAAGACAGGAAAAUGAGUCCAGCCCACUGUUGUGGCUUAGAUAUGAAAUGUCUCCAUAUUUCCACUUGCUGAAAUCUUGGAUGCGACUUUCGGGGCUUUUAUGAUUGAUUUAUGAACCCCUGAACAUCAUCAACAAGUAAUUGAUGACAGCCCAGCCCACAGGGCUUAUUAGGAAGUGGGGCUGGUUGGAGAGAGCAGUUCACUGGGGACAGGCCUUUGGCAAGUACAUUCUGUCUCUGGUGAUUGCUGACUUUCUGUUUCCUGGCCUUCAGGAGGUGAGCAACUUUAUUCUGCCUCAGCCUUCAACCAUGAUGAUACACCUCACCACAGGCUGAACCUCUAAAACUAUCAGCCAGAAUAAAACCUACUUCCUUUUAAAUAGUUGUCCCAGUGACAAAAAGAAGUCUAAUACAGUGAUAUGUAUAAAUCUUAGAAAAACACAAAUUGGCAAAACAGAUGCAGGAAGCAAUGUGUAGUAUGAAUAAUUGUUGAUGAAAAGGAAAUCCACUCAAGAAAAGGUGAGGCCCCCACACCUGGCCACACCAGUCUGCAAACUUUUCUCUUCCUCAAGAUCAAACAAAAGCAAAAGAAAGGGAGAUAAAAUACCACAAACUCAAGUUUUCACAGAAUUGCUCAGUACAAAUCAUUCUCAGAUGCUGAGAUAUUUCAAAGUAAUAUCAAACACAGAUGCCACAUUAAAGGAAAACUAAAGAAUCAUAGCAAAGUGUAAAGAACCCAAAAGAGACACAACACCAGCCCAGGAAAAGAUGAAAAUUCAACAUGCAAAGUGUGUUUCCACUGAAUUUGUACUGUGUUCAUACCAUUGUAAAUCCAAAACAUCCUGAGACUAUCUUGGGAUAAAAUUUUAAAAAUAAUUUUUAGCUUAUCUAAAUACAAAUCUACUUGUGAGUUCCUUCCAGUAUUUUUAAAAUAAUUUAUGCCCCCCACACACAGCAUGGAAAAAGGAACAUAUCUAACUGCUGUUUCUGGGAGCCAGCAGAGUUCCUCAAACAUAAUACUAUGCCAUUGCUCAAUCAUUGAUUAGUGGGUAGAAAAUGCUUCCAUGAAAGGCAGUACCUGGAAUUCCUACAUACCUCCAGAACGUAGGGACUUGGUAGGCCAGCUCAUCUUGGAGGGAACACCACAGAUGGUAAGAAACGAGACUGACCCUUGGUGUCAUUUAUCCAAGAGUGAGUCUGAUUGGUUUGUCUGAAGACCUUUGAGCUGAUCUCUUGAACAAAGGCCAUUAUGGCCACUCUAUUGAAUAGUCCAGCAACUAUGGUGUGAAAAAGGAAUGAGAAAUUUUGUCUUAAGUAUUUUUUGUUUGUUAAUUUUUUUUAAUAAUUAAAUCUUUUUUUGACCAGCCUCUUUUUUUUUUUAAAGAUUUAUUUAUUUAUUUCAUGUAUGUGAGUACAUUGUUGCUGUCUUCAGACACACCAGAAGAGGGCAUCGGAUCCUGAUUACAGAUGGUUGUGAGCUACCGUGUGGUUGCUGGGAAUUGAACUCUGGACCUCUGGAAGAGUAGUCAGUGCUUUUAACUGCUGAGCCAUCUCUCCAGCCCUUGUCUUAAGUUUUUACAAAGGUCUCAUAAAGGGAAAAUUUUUUUCUCUGACCCUAUUGACUCAGAAUAUCACCCAAGGACACAACCAGGUAUUAUUAAGCCCACACAUUGCUUUCACCAUUGGAGGGAGAGGUUCAAACCUUACUGCUUCCAGCAAAUGGUCAUAGUUAUAGCCCCUAUAUCUUUUGCACAAAUACAUUGCUCUGAGCUAGGAAUCAAUAACUCACUAAGAAGAAAGAGAGUAAAUUAUAUCUUAGGAAGGCCAAAGCAUAGUAAGAUUGAAUACAUUGUUUUUUCUUAAAGGUCAAUUAAUUCUGAACAGGUUGAAUACACUGUACUUUGAAUGCAGAGCAUUCAAAGAUCUCAAAGCACAUUAUUAACUUGGUUGUAGGUUGGGUGAAAGUUUGAUUUGUAAUGGCAAGCUGCAAACAACAUUUCUUAGAAAAACCAUUCAGUUUCUUCUCCUGAAUUCAAUAACCUGGAUUUGCAGAGAUCUUGCUUUAUACUGAGGAGGUGCGUCAACAUGCCUAGGUUUCAAAAUGGAAAAACAUGUCUUUCAAGAUAAUCUGAGACACCAUAUGAAGAAAACGGGCAUUCAGUCAGUGUUUUUGAAUGUAGGAAGAAUGGCAGGCCUCACUGACAAGGCUGUGGCUACUUCCAUAUAAACAGUGAGUGGGGCCACGCAGCCACGGAGAUAACUUCCCCAUGAGGUGUGGGGAGCCGACAGAAGGUGGCUAUCAUCCUUCCAGCCAUCUUGAGCCAUAUACCCUGACAAGAGGCUUGUUUACAAUAGCCUACAACAGCUGAGAACACUCUGAUAACAUCUUGCUUUAGAUACCCAGGAUUUUCCCUUGGGUGUGUGAGACUUAAAGGCCUGUGACUUAAGGGCGUGACUUAGAGAUCAGAUUUAGAGACAAGGCCUAAGGGCAUGACUUAAAGGUGUGACUUAAAGGCGUGGCUUAGAAGUGAGACAUAUAAAAGGUGAGAGGCAGAAGAGUUCAGUACAACUUGGAGUAGGAAUUAGGCAUUAGGACAGUACAACUUGGAGUUAGUUACUAGACAUUAGGCACUUAGCACUUGGAAGAAGAAAGUUGGAACUUGGAGGCACUAGGAACUAGGGACUAAGAACUCAAGACUUGGGACUUGGGACUUGGGACUUGGACUAGGAAGAGAGAUUGAAGAAUAAACAGGAUUGAAUCAC